RNAcentral lists this ribosomal RNA (398 nucleotides) under uncultured bacterium. Its description in RNAcentral is "partial 16S ribosomal RNA". It matches the Rfam family "Bacterial small subunit ribosomal RNA", at positions 523 to 918 of the family's 1533-position model. The record is from RNAcentral.
AUACGUAGGGUGCGAGCGUUGUCCGGAAUUACUGGGCGUAAAGAGCUCGUAGGUGGUUUGUCGCGUCGUCUGUGAAAUUCCGGGGCUUAACUCCGGGCGUGCAGGCGAUACGGGCAUAACUUGAGUACUGUAGGGGAGACUGGAAUUCCUGGUGUAGCGGUGAAAUGCGCAGAUAUCAGGAGGAACACCGGUGGCGAAGGGGGGUCUCUGGGAAGUAACUGACGCUGAGGAGCGAAAGCAGGGGUAGCGAACAGGAUUAGAUACCCUGGUAGUCCAUGCCGUAAACGGUGGGCGCUAGGUGUAGGGGUCUUCCACGACUUCUGUGCCGUAGCUAACGCAUUAAGCGCCCCGCCUGGGGAGUACGGCCGCAAGGCUAAAACUCAAAGGAAUUGGCGGGG